Molecule: long non-coding RNA, 1267 nt
Filed under: Canis lupus familiaris (dog)
Lineage: Eukaryota; Metazoa; Chordata; Mammalia; Carnivora; Canidae
Description: lncRNA (ENSCAFG00000059323.1)
Source: RNAcentral
CUCUCUCUCUCUCUCUCUCUCUCUGUGUGUGUGUGACUAUCAUAAAUAAAUAAAAUUAUUUUAAAAAAAAUAAAAAAUAAAAUAAAAUAAAAAUAAAAAAAUAGCAAUAAUAUUUUUGCAAAAGAGACCAAGAAGUGAUUAAGUGAAAUUAGACAAUGGAGGAAAGCAAAUUUGUAUGAAAAUAAUGUAAAAUCCCUUAUCAAAUCCCCCAAAAUAAAAAUCCUUAGUUUUUGCAUAUAUAGAAAGUAUAUAGAGAUAUAUAGAAAUAUGUACUAAGUUUUAUAUGUACUCAGUUUUAUAUAUAUACUAUAUAUAAAAUUAUAUCCAAAAAUUUAAAUUUAAAUUUAAUUAUAUAUGCAUGUAUAUAUAAUGCAUAUCUGCACAUUAUAUGCAUAAAAAACUAAAGCCAUUAAACACAUAGAAAAAUAUAGACCUAUAUGUAGAUAUUUAGUUAUAUAUAGAACUAUAUAUAUAUAAAUUUAUAUAUAAAUUUAUAUAUAUAUAAAUUUAUAUUUAUUUAUUUAUAUUUAUAUUUAUAAGUUUAAAAUGUAAUUACACAUUACAUAUACAUACACAUAUAUGUGUAUAUUUAUAAUAUAAAUGUAUAUGUGUGUAUAAAUAUACACACAUAAACACAAAUUAUAGAGAGAAAAAUUUAAAUUAAUAGACAGCCUUACCUCUAGACCGGACACAAAGAAAUUUUAACAAGUCAAAUGUAAAAUUCAGUAAUUGAAGCAGAUAAGCUCAAAUAGAUAAAAAUGAGGAAACUUUGUAAAGCACCUGAUAGAUUGGAGCAUAAUGUUCCUAGAAGAAUUAAGAAGAAAUUAUGGCCAAGAGCAAUAUAUAUAAAUAAAAUUGCAUGACAGCUCUAUAUUUGAAAAUAUAUGGACCCUUAUGAUGAACAUAAACACCAAAGCCAAGCACAAAAUUAAAUCUAUCCUUGGAUAUGAUAGUUUAAAACUUUUAAGCAUCAAAGAUAAAGAGAAAAGAAACUUUACACUAUCAAAAAGAAAACGCUAAAUAAUUAAUAAUAAUUAGAUUUUUUUUGAAGAUUUUAUUUACUUAUUCACAAGAGGCACAGAGAAAGGCAGAGACAUAGGCAGAAAGAGAAGCAGGCUCCCUGCAGGGAGACUGAUGUGGGACUCGAUCCCAGGACCCCAGGACCACAACCUGAGCCGAAGGCAGACAUUCAACCACUUGAGCCACUCAGAUGCCCUGAUAAUUAGAUUUUUUUAAUGGUUUGUUUUUAAGUAUUUAAUUUAUUUAU